CUGGUUUUCCAGGCAAAUCCGGAAAACCAAGGCUGAGGCGUGAUGACGAGGCACUACGGUGCUGAAGCGACAAAUGCCCUGCUUCCAGGAAAAGCCUCUAAGCAUCAGGUAACAUCAAAUCGUACCCAAAACCGACACAGGUGGUCAGGUAGAGAAUACCAAGGCGCUUGAGAGAACUCGGGUGAAGGAACUAGGCAAAAUGGUGCCGUAACUUCGGGAGAAGGCACGCUGAUAUGUAGGUGAAGCGACUUGCUC
This 255-nucleotide ribosomal RNA is filed under the name Escherichia coli. Its description in RNAcentral is "partial 23S ribosomal RNA". It matches the Rfam family "Bacterial large subunit ribosomal RNA", at positions 1525 to 1774 of the family's 2925-position model. The record is from RNAcentral. Lineage: Bacteria; Pseudomonadati; Pseudomonadota; Gammaproteobacteria; Enterobacterales; Enterobacteriaceae.